RNAcentral lists this long non-coding RNA (629 nucleotides) under Salvator merianae (Argentine black and white tegu). Its description in RNAcentral is "lncRNA (ENSSMRG00000019824.1)". The record is from RNAcentral. Lineage: Eukaryota; Metazoa; Chordata; Lepidosauria; Squamata; Teiidae.
GAACACAACCACCUCUGACCUCUCUGUCCCUCAUCAGGUUUCCACCUGCCACCUCCAAUGGAUUGUUUGCAGCCCUGCCAUUCCAGUUCUUAUCAGCAAAUUUCCUUUGAAAGAGAAAAGCGCUUUUAGUUUAUGAAUAUUUGUGCUCUGCACAAGAAACACCAGUUCUGUGAGGGGGAAACACCUUGUUCUGAGCAAACAUUUGUUUCGACAGUCACUUUACACACCACAUCAGGUGAGGGGGGCGUCAUCGGCACCACCUCUCCACCUUCUCAUAUAAAUUUUAUGGACAGAUCUUCCUCUGGGAUCAGCAAGGCACAACGUUUCGCUGUCACAGCCGUCUCUUUGCAGAAAGCCAGAAUGAGAGCACUUCUUACUGUGGUCAUCUUUUGUAUCUUUCUGGCUGUAUGUCAUGGAGCUUGCAUGUUCGAAAAGUUUAAAAUCAAGGAGAAUGGUGAAAAAGAAACUGAGUGCACUGAUCCGUUCGAAGGGAGCAAACACCCAAUCGGGUCCAAGUGGAACACGUCUGAGUGUUGGGCUUGCUCGUGCGGGGAAGAUGGAAUGAGCUGCUGUACCAGGUAUGGAAAAGNCCUUCAGCAAGCAUAGAUGUUUUCCCUCUUUUAAAGUGG